RNAcentral lists this ribosomal RNA (484 nucleotides) under uncultured bacterium. Its description in RNAcentral is "partial 16S ribosomal RNA". It matches the Rfam family "Bacterial small subunit ribosomal RNA", at positions 29 to 507 of the family's 1533-position model. The record is from RNAcentral.
AUUGAACGCUGGCGGCAUGCUUUACACAUGCAAGUCGAACGGCAGCGCGGGCUUCGGCCUGGCGGCGAGUGGCGAACGGGUGAGUAAUGCAUCGGAACGUGCCCAGUAGUGGGGGAUAGCCCGGCGAAAGCCGGAUUAAUACCGCAUACGACCUGAAGGUGAAAGCGGGGGACCGAAAGGCCUCGCGCUAUUGGAGCGGCCGAUGUCGGAUUAGCUAGUUGGUGGGGUAAAGGCUUACCAAGGCGACGAUCCGUAGCUGGUCUGAGAAGACGACCAGCCACACUGGGACUGAGACACGGCCCAGACUCCUACGGGAGGCAGCAGUGGGGAAUUUUGGACAAUGGGGGCAACCCUGAUCCAGCCAUGCCGCGUGCGGGAAGAAGGCCUUCGGGUUGUAAACCGCUUUUGUUCGGGAAGAAAUCCUCUGGGCUAAUACCCCGGGGGGAUGACGGUACCGGAAGAAUAAGCACCGGCUAACUACGUG